CCUACGGGGGGCAGCAGUAGGGAAUAUUGCUCAAUGGGGGAAACCCUGAAGCAGCAACGCCGCGUGGAGGAUGAAGGUUUUCGUAUUGUAAACUCCUUUUGUUAGAGAAGAUAAUGACGGUAUCUAACGAAUAAGCCCCGGCUAACUCCGUGCCAGCAGCCGCGGUAAUACGGAGGGUGCAAGCGUUACUCGGAAUCACUGGGCGUAAAGAGCGCGUAGGCGGGAUAGCAAGUCAGAUGUGAAAUCCUCUGGCGUAACCAUAGAACUGCAUUUGAAACUGUUAUUCUAGAGUAUAGGAGAGGUAGGUGGAAUUCUUGGUGUAGGGGUAAAAUCCGUAGAGAUCAAGAGGAAUACUCAUUGCGAAGGCGACCUGCUAGAACAUAACUGACGCUGAUGCGCGAAAGCGUGGGGAGCAAACAGGAGUAGAUACCCUGGUAGUC
RNAcentral lists this ribosomal RNA (440 nucleotides) under uncultured bacterium. Its description in RNAcentral is "partial 16S ribosomal RNA". It matches the Rfam family "Bacterial small subunit ribosomal RNA", at positions 338 to 795 of the family's 1533-position model. The record is from RNAcentral.